AAUCAUUUCAUACGAAUUCCUUAUAUAUCUAUGGUGAUAUGGACCAUAAGUCUCUACCUGGCAGCCGUAAAAUGCCGGACUAUAAGGAAAGUUGAAUCACAG
RNAcentral lists this non-coding RNA (102 nucleotides) under [Bacillus] enclensis. RNAcentral's name for it is "Bacillus enclensis Guanine sequence". It matches the Rfam family "Purine riboswitch aptamer". Rfam says of the family: Riboswitches are metabolite binding domains within certain messenger RNAs that serve as precision sensors for their corresponding targets. Allosteric rearrangement of mRNA structure is mediated by ligand binding, and this results in modulation of gene expression. The record is from RNAcentral. Lineage: Bacteria; Bacillati; Bacillota; Bacilli; Caryophanales; Bacillaceae.